AUGACAAACAACAUCAAAUUCAUCUGGACUCUCCUGCUCUGUAUCACAGCAUGCAGAUGCCAGAUUACUGUGACUCAGACUCCAGCAGUGAAAGCUGCUCUUGUGGGACAAACCAUCACACUCAACUGCAGGACCAGCACAAACCUUGAUAGAUAUUGUGGCUCUGGCUCUGGUGGCAACUGUCUCUCAUGGUACCUUCAGAAACCUGGAGAAGCUCCUAAACUGUUAAUGUAUCUCAUAAGCACCCGCUAUGGAUCAACUCCCAGUCGCUUUGUUAGUGGAGGAGCCGUUGGUGGCAGCGACUUCACUCUGACCAUCAAGUCAUAUGGACAGGUCACUGUGACUCAGACUCCUACAGUGAAAGCUGUUCAACAGGGAGGAUCAGUCACUCUGAACUGCAAAACCAGCAGCAAUGUGCGUGAUGCAGGGAAGACAGAUCCAGAUUUAUCCUGGUACCAACAGAAACCUGGAGCAGCUCCUAAACUCCUCAUCUAUUAUGUAAAAAGACUCCAGUCUGGGACUCCAUCCAGAUUCAGUGGCAGUGGAGAUUACAGUGACUUCACUCUGACCAUCAGUGAUGUCCAGGCUGAGGAUGCAGGAGUUUACUACUGUCAGAGUUACCAUAGUGGUGGUGUAUAA
This is a non-coding RNA of Engraulis encrasicolus (European anchovy), 639 nucleotides long. The record is from the annotation of a RefSeq genome assembly. NCBI's taxonomy places the organism in Eukaryota, Metazoa, Chordata, Actinopteri, Clupeiformes, Engraulidae.